RNAcentral lists this ribosomal RNA (330 nucleotides) under Diastylis spinulosa. RNAcentral's name for it is "partial small subunit ribosomal RNA". The record is from RNAcentral. Lineage: Eukaryota; Metazoa; Arthropoda; Malacostraca; Cumacea; Diastylidae.
GGUCUCAAAUCUAAAGAAUUUGGCGGUCUCUAAAUCAAAUAAGAGGAAUUUGCUAUAUAAACGAUGACCCACGAAAAAUCUUACUAGGUUUAAUAAAUGUUUGUAUACCGCCAUCUAAAGAAUGUUUUUAGAUAUUUUUGGAAUAAGUAAAUCUUUUAUGUUAGGUCAAGGUGCAGCUGAUAGCCAAGUUUUAGUUAGUUACAAUACUAUUUAGUUUUGGAAAAGUGUUUAAAUACAUAAGGAAAGAGGAUUUUAAGGUAAUUUGUAUUUUAAUAUGUUAAGGUGGCUGCAGGUCUUAGAGAUGUACAUAUCGCCCGUCGCUCGCGGGAA